GACGAACGCUGGCGGCGUGCUUAACACAUGCAAGUCGAACGGAAAGGCCCUUCGGGUUCCUCGAGUGGCGAACGGGUGAGUAACACGUGGGUGAUCUGCCCUGCACUUUGGGAUAAGCCUGGGAAACUGGGUCUAAUACCGAAUAUGAUCAUCGGCUUCAUUGUCUGUGGUGGAAAGCUUUUGCGGUGUGGGAUGGGCCCGCGGCCUAUCAGCUUGUUGGUGGGGUAAUGGCCUACCAAGGCGACGACGGGUAGCCGGCCUGAGAGGGUGACCGGCCACACUGGGACUGAGAUACGGCCCAGAAUCCAACGGGAGGCAGCAGUGGGGAAUAUUGCAAAAGGGGCGGAAGCCUGAUGAAGCGACGCCGCGUGAGGGAUGACGGCCUUCGGGUUGUAAACCUCUUUCAGCACAGACGAAGCGCAAGUGACGGUAUGUGCAGAAGAAGGACCGGCCAACUACGUG
This 462-nucleotide ribosomal RNA is filed under the name uncultured bacterium. RNAcentral's name for it is "partial 16S ribosomal RNA". It matches the Rfam family "Bacterial small subunit ribosomal RNA", at positions 28 to 507 of the family's 1533-position model. The record is from RNAcentral.